RNAcentral lists this ribosomal RNA (253 nucleotides) under uncultured bacterium. RNAcentral describes it as "partial 16S ribosomal RNA". It matches the Rfam family "Bacterial small subunit ribosomal RNA", at positions 524 to 776 of the family's 1533-position model. The record is from RNAcentral.
UACGGAGGGUGCAAGCGUUAUCCGGAUUCACUGGGUUUAAAGGGUGCGUAGGCGGACAGGUAAGUCAGUGGUGAAAUCUCUGGGCUUAACCCAGAAACUGCCGUUGAUACUAUUUGUCUUGAAUAUCCUGGAGGUAGGCGGAAUAUGUCAUGUAGCGGUGAAAUGCUUAGAUAUGACAUAGAACACCGAUAGCGAAGGCAGCACACUACACAGCCAUUGACGCUGAGGCACGAAAGCGAGGGGAUCAAACAGG